AUGGCUCGUACAAGGCAGACUGCCCACAAAUCAACCGGUGGUAAACCACCCAGGAAGCAACUGGCUACAAAAGCCGCUCGCAAGAGUGUGCCCUCUACUGGAGGGGUGAAGAAACCUCAUCGUUACAGGCCUGGUACUGUGGCGCUCCGUGAAAUUAGAUGUUAUCAGAAGUCCACUGAACUUCUGAUUCGCUAACUUCCCUUCCAGCGUCUGGUGCGAGAAAUUGCUCAGGACUUUAAAACAGAUCUGCACUUCCAGAGCGCAGCUAUCGGUGCUUUGCAGGAGGCAAGUGAGGCCUAUCUGGUUGGCCUUUUUGAAGACACCAACCUGUGUGCUAUCCAUGCCAAACGUGUAACAAUUAUGCCAAAAGACAUCCAGCUAGCAUGCCACAUACGUUGAGAAUGUGCUUUA
Molecule: long non-coding RNA, 411 nt
Filed under: Homo sapiens (human)
Lineage: Eukaryota; Metazoa; Chordata; Mammalia; Primates; Hominidae
Description: non-protein coding lnc-LARP7-4:1
Source: RNAcentral